CCAGCAGCCGCGGUAAUUCCAGCUCCAAUAGCGUAUAUUAAAGUUGUUGCGGUUAAAAAGCUCGUAGUUGGAUUUCUGCCGAGGACGACCAGUCCGCCCACUGGGUGUGCAUCUGGCUCGGCCUGGGCAUCUUCUUGGAGAACGUAUCUGCACUUCACUGUGUGGUGCGGUAUCCAGGACUUUUACUUUGAGGAAAUUAGAGUGUUUAAAGCAGGCUUACGCUUGAAUACAUUAGCAUGGAAUAAUGGAAUAGGACUUUGGUUCUAUUUUGUUGGUUUCUAGGACCAAAGUAAUGAUGAAUAGGGAUAGUUGGGGGCAUUAGUAUUGAGCUGUCAGAGGUGAAAUUCUUGGAUUUGCUCAAGACUAACAACUGCGAAAGCAUUUGCCAAGGAUGUUUUCAUUGAUCAAGAACGAAAGU
This 418-nucleotide ribosomal RNA is filed under the name uncultured eukaryote. Its description in RNAcentral is "SSU rRNA". It matches the Rfam family "Eukaryotic small subunit ribosomal RNA", at positions 567 to 990 of the family's 1831-position model. The record is from RNAcentral.